This 207-nucleotide ribosomal RNA is filed under the name uncultured bacterium. RNAcentral's name for it is "partial 16S ribosomal RNA". It matches the Rfam family "Bacterial small subunit ribosomal RNA", at positions 568 to 774 of the family's 1533-position model. The record is from RNAcentral.
CACGCAGGCGGUUUGUUAAGUCAGAUGUGAAAUCCCCGGGCUCAACCUGGGAACUGCAUUUGAAACUGGCAAGCUAGAGUCUCGUAGAGGGGGGUAGAAUUCCAAGUGUAGCGGUGAAAUGCGUAGAGAUCUGGAGGAAUACCGGUGGCGAAGGCGGCCCCCUGGACGAAGACUGACGCUCAGGUGCGAAAGCGUGGGGAGCAAACA